GCUGGGCCUGGUGGCGGGCGCCUGUAAUCCCAGCUACUCAGGAGGCUGAGGCAGGAGAAUUGCUUGAAUCCAGGAGAUCAAGGCUGCAGCGAGCCAUGAUCGUACCACUGCACUCCAGCCUGGGCAACAGAGCAAGACCCUGUCUCAA
This 148-nucleotide non-coding RNA is filed under the name Gorilla gorilla gorilla (western lowland gorilla). Lineage: Eukaryota; Metazoa; Chordata; Mammalia; Primates; Hominidae. The record is from Rfam by way of RNAcentral.